Molecule: ribosomal RNA, 253 nt
Filed under: uncultured bacterium
Lineage: Bacteria
Description: partial 16S ribosomal RNA
Rfam family: Bacterial small subunit ribosomal RNA
Source: RNAcentral
UACGGGGGGGGCAAGCGUUGUUCGGAAUUACUGGGCGUAAAGGGCUCGUAGGCGGCCAACUAAGUCGGAUGUGAAAUCCCCAGGCUUAACCUGGGAACUGCAUCCGAUACUGGAUGGCUUGAAUCCGGGAGAGGGAUGCGGAAUUCCAGGUGUAGCGGUGAAAUGCGUAGAUAUCGGGAGGAACACCUGUGGCGAAAGCGGCUCACUGGACCGCAACUGACGCUGAGGCGCGAAAGCUAGGGGAGCAAACAGG